CCUACGGGAGGCAGCAGUGGGGAAUAUUGCACAAUGGGCGCAAGCCUGAUGCAGCCAUGCCGCGUGUGUGAAGAAGGCCUUCGGGUUGUAAAGCACUUUCAGCGGGGAGGAAGGCGUUAAGGUUAAUAACCUUGGCGAUUGACGUUACCCGCAGAAGAAGCACCGGCUAACUCCGUGCCAGCAGCCGCGGUAAUACGGAGGGUGCAAGCGUUAAUCGGAAUUACUGGGCGUAAAGCGCACGCAGGCGGUCUGUCAAGUCGGAUGUGAAAUCCCCGGGCUCAACCUGGGAACUGCAUUCGAAACUGGCAGGCUAGAGUCUUGUAGAGGGGGGUAGAAUUCCAGGUGUAGCGGUGAAAUGCGUAGAGACCUGGAGGAAUACCGGUGGCGAAGGCGGCCCCCUGGACAAAGACUGACGCUCAGGUGCGAAAGCGUGGGGAGCAAACAGGAUUAGAUACCCCGGUAGUC
This 465-nucleotide ribosomal RNA is filed under the name uncultured Klebsiella sp. RNAcentral describes it as "bacterial SSU rRNA". It matches the Rfam family "Bacterial small subunit ribosomal RNA", at positions 338 to 795 of the family's 1533-position model. The record is from RNAcentral. Lineage: Bacteria; Pseudomonadati; Pseudomonadota; Gammaproteobacteria; Enterobacterales; Enterobacteriaceae.